UGAGGUGUUGGAACUGCAAAGUGCAGG
RNAcentral lists this non-coding RNA (27 nucleotides) under Homo sapiens (human). Lineage: Eukaryota; Metazoa; Chordata; Mammalia; Primates; Hominidae. The record is from RNAcentral.